GACGAACGCUGGCGGCGUGCUUAACACAUGCAAGUCGAACGGAAAGGCCCUGCUUUUGUGGGGUGCUCGAGUGGCGAACGGGUGAGUAACACGUGAGUAACCUGCCCUUGACUUUGGGAUAACUUCAGGAAACUGGGGCUAAUACCGGAUAGGAGCUCCUGCUGCAUGGUGGGGGUUGGAAAGUUUCGGCGGUUGGGGAUGGACUCGCGGCUUAUCAGCUUGUUGGUGGGGUAGUGGCUUACCAAGGCUUUGACGGGUAGCCGGCCUGAGAGGGUGACCGGCCACAUUGGGACUGAGAUACGGCCCAGACUCCUACGGGAGGCAGCAGUGGGGAAUAUUGCACAAUGGGCGGAAGCCUGAUGCAGCAACGCCGCGUGCGGGAUGACGGCCUUCGGGUUGUAAACCGCUUUCGCCUGUGACGAAGCGUGAGUGACGGUAAUGGGUAAAGAAGCACCGGCUAACUACGUGCCAGCAGCCGCGGUGAUACGUAGGGUGCGAGCGUUGUCCGGAUUUAUUGGGCGUAAAGGGCUCGUAGGUGGUUGAUCGCGUCGGAAGUGUAAUCUUGGGGCUUAACCCUGAGCGUGCUUUCGAUACGGGUUGACUUGAGGAAGGUAGGGGAGAAUGGAAUUCCUGGUGGAGCGGUGGAAUGCGCAGAUAUCAGGAGGAACACCAGUGGCGAAGGCGGUUCUCUGGGCCUUUCCUGACGCUGAGGAGCGAAAGCGUGGGGAGCGAACAGGCUUAGAUACCCUGGUAGUCCACGCUGUAAACGGUGGGUACUAGGUGUGGGGUCCAUUCCACGGGUUCCGUGCCGUAGCUAACGCUUUAAGUACCCCGCCUGGGGAGUACGGCCGCAAGGCUAAAACUCAAAGGAAUUGACGGGGCCCCGCACAAGCGGCGGAGCAUGCGGAUUAAUUCGAUGCAACGCGUAGAACCUUACCUGGGUUUGACAUGGAUCGGGAGUGCUCAGAGACGGGUGUGCCUCUUUUGGGGUCGGUUCACAGGUGGUGCAUGGCUGUCGUCAGCUCGUGUCGUGAGAUGUUGGGUUAAGUCCCGCAACGAGCGCAACCCUUGUUCACUGUUGCCAGCACGUUAUGGUGGGGACUCAGUGGAGACCGCCGGGGUCAACUCGGAGGAAGGUGGGGAUGACGUCAAGUCAUCAUGCCCCUUAUGUCCAGGGCUUCACGCAUGCUACAAUGGCUGGUACAGAGAGUGGCGAGCCUGUGAGGGUGAGCGAAUCUCGGAAAGCCGGUCUCAGUUCGGAUUGGGGUCUGCAACUCGACCUCAUGAAGUCGGAGUCGCUAGUAAUCGCAGAUCAGCAACGCUGCGGUGAAUACGUUCCCGGAGCU
Molecule: ribosomal RNA, 1346 nt
Filed under: uncultured bacterium
Lineage: Bacteria
Description: partial 16S ribosomal RNA
Rfam family: Bacterial small subunit ribosomal RNA
Source: RNAcentral